This 172-nucleotide ribosomal RNA is filed under the name uncultured bacterium. Its description in RNAcentral is "partial 16S ribosomal RNA". It matches the Rfam family "Bacterial small subunit ribosomal RNA", at positions 339 to 508 of the family's 1533-position model. The record is from RNAcentral.
CUACGGGAGGCAGCAGUGAGGAAUAUUGGUCAAUGGGCGAGAGCCUGAACCAGCCAAGUAGCGUGCAGGAUGACGGCCCUAUGGGUUGUAAACUGCUUUUAUAAGGGAAUAAAGUGAGUCUCGUGAGGCUUUUUGCAUGUACCUUAUGAAUAAGGACCGGCUAAUUCCGUGC